Molecule: small nuclear RNA, 28 nt
Filed under: Cervus elaphus hippelaphus
Lineage: Eukaryota; Metazoa; Chordata; Mammalia; Artiodactyla; Cervidae
Source: RNAcentral
GUGCUCGCUUCGGCAGCACAUAUACCAA